CAAAGGCUUGGUCCUGACUUUACUAUCAGCUUUAACACGACUUACACAUGCAAGUCUCCGCAGCCCCGUGAGGAUGCCCUCAAUCCUCUGCCCGAGGACGAGGAGCAGGCAUCAGGCACAAUUUUUUAGCCCAAGACGCCUUGCCAUGCCACACCCCCAAGGGAACUCAGCAGUGAUAAACAUUAAGCCAUGAGCAAAAGCUCGACUUAGUUAGUGUUAACAAGGGCCGGUAAAACUCGUGCCAGCCACCGCGGUUAUACGAGAGGCCCCAGUUGAUGGAUACGGCGUAAAGGGUGGUUAAGGAAAAGCAAAAAUUAAAGCCAAAGAGUCUCUUGGCCGUCAUACGCUCCUGAGAAUUCGAAGCCCAAUAUACGAAAGUAGCCUUAAAUAUGGCCCACCUGACCCCACGAAAGCUGAGAAACAAACUGGGAUUAGAUACCCCACUAUGCUCAGCCAUAAACCUAGACGUUUCACUACGCGAACGUCCGCCAGGGUACUACAAGCGUCAGCUUAAAACCCAAAGGACUUGGCGGUGCCUUAGACCCCCCUAGAGGAGCCUGUUCUAGAACCGAUAACCCCCGUUAAACCUCACCACUCCUAGUCAACCCCGCCUAUAUACCGCCGUCGUCAGCUUACCCUGUGAAGGUAUAAUAGUAAGCAAAAUGGAUACAACCCAAAACGUCAGGUCGAGGUGUAGCGCACGGAGUGGGAAGAAAUGGGCUACAUUUUCUAUCACAGAAUAUUACGAACGACACCAUGAAAACUUUAGUGCCCGAAGGAGGAUUUAGUAGUAAAAAGGAAAUAGAGUGUCCUUUUGAACCCGGCUCUGAGGCGCGUACACACCGCCCGUCACUCUCCCCUGUCAACAACAAAAUAACGUAUUUAACACCCCAACACCGACAAGGGGAGGCAAGUCGUAACAUGGUAAGUGUACCGGAAGGUGCACUUGGAUCAAACC
This 958-nucleotide non-coding RNA is filed under the name Bhavania australis (Western Ghat loach). RNAcentral describes it as "12S rRNA". It matches the Rfam family "Bacterial small subunit ribosomal RNA". Lineage: Eukaryota; Metazoa; Chordata; Actinopteri; Cypriniformes; Balitoridae. The record is from RNAcentral.